GUUUAACUUGACUGUCUCUUCCCUUGCCUCUCUCCUUAUGGCCACAAGAAGCCUCUGCUCCGAUGCUGCUUCCCUCACAAGCCCACUUACCGUAGCCUUACCUCUCAAAUAGUUCAUCUCACACCAAAAAUACCCAACAAGACGGCUCUUCUUCUUUUCAAAGGCACUGCUAGUGCUUGUUGCGGCGCUAAGCUGGGGAAAAUUACAGUGGUGAUAGCUAUGGGGCUCUCCACCACCCAAAUUGCACCGUUGAGACCCAUUUGCCCAUCAUAUUUCAAGCUUUCCCAGUCAACUCUUUGCUUUUCAUCUCUUGGUGCUCCCUCCCGGCACUUCUCUAAUGCAUUUCACAGGUAUUGGGUGGAAAUGCCUUCAGGGGUAAUAGUUAACCUACAAGCAAGACAUAAGAAGAGGAUAUUGGCUUCCAGAAAUUACACUGCAGCCUCCAAUUUGGAGUUUGCUACGGAACUCUAUCAAAGCACUAGAAGCUCGUGGAAACAAAAGAGUGAAACCUUGCGGGAAUAUAGAAGGUUACAAAAAAGUGAAAGCUUACGGGAAUAUAAAAUUGGAUAUUCUCCAGUUAAAAAUGAGCAUGUGGAAGACUUUAGUUCUCCUUCCGUUGUCCAUGUAACCACGGUUGCUGAUAAAGUCAGUAGUCAGAAACAAGCAUUCUCAAGAAAUGGCAGAGGUCAUAUUGUUGAUAGUAAAGAUCAUGCUGGGUCAGUACCAUUCAGUUCAGAACUAAGAACUACCGGUAGAAGCAAUAUGAUUUUGGGUAAUGUGAAUGGUCAUGCAAUUGAUGAUAAAAGGCCGAAUAGUUUAUCUUUGAAAAAUAUUUCAAGAGAGGGUGCACAGAAAAAUGGAUCUAUGGCAGUAAAGAGCAGUGUAGCGAGCAGUGUAGCUGUAGAUAAUAUAAAUGGUGGGGCAAUUGAUAAGAAAAGGCCUAAUGGUUUGCCUUUGGCCAAAAUUUCAAAAAUGCAUGCACAGACUGAUAGAUCAUUGUCGAUGAAGAUAUUGGAGCACCAGAAAGAGAGAAAUUUCAAUGAAAUUGAACAUGUUAAUACUCUUCUAAUUGACAGUAAACAGACCAACAAAAAUCUUCUUGUGGUUAGCGAUGCUGAAAAACCCUCCAACACCAAACAGGCAUCUUGCCUUCUAGACAUUAAAAAGAAGCUUACUAGUAUAUAUGGCAAAAUUAUGGUUGUUAAUAAUGUCUCUAUGGCAGAUGAGGUUGUAUAUAAGCUUAUGAAUCAGUAUAGGCAUUUUGUCCAUGCAUGUGACACUGAGGUAUGCUCUUUACUUAUAUUAAAUUCUAUUUUCUUUGCCCUUACAAAGCUGCUCAUGCAUUAGCGAGGAAUACUAAUGUAUGCAUUUUAAACAAUUUGUUUAAAGUGGUUAUUCAAGUAUGUAAUGGCAACAAAAUGGUGUCAAAAGAAGGAUAAUGCAUAUUUUGGUUUUAGGAGAAAAAUUUGGGACCAAUUUGAGAUGAAAGUGCAGAUAACUUCGGGGCUUCUUAGUGUUUUUCAUUGUAAUUGAUUGUGUGAUGUAUUAUUAUAAUUUGAAAGGGAGGAUUUCUAGUGUUUGAAUGGACAGAAAUCAAAUAUUGUAGAUGAAAGUGCUUGCAAGAAAAUGUAAAUUUUCUAAAUUCACGCUUAAAGUUCCUUAGAUUUCAUAUUCAAGGUCUCUGGAAUUAUUCCUAAGAUUAGGAUUGCUCCAGACAAUACAAUGAUUGUUAAAAUAUUCUAGAACAUUACAGAUUUCAAAAAAAUUAAACCUAUAAGGACUUGAGUGCCUAAAUAGAAGAUUUAGGAUAAGGAUAUAUCUAUGUUACGGGACUGUCAUUUACGUGAGCAUUCAUUUCUUGAAUGACAAGUGACUGAAGCUUGAAUACACUACCAGUCCAACAAUUGGGAUAGGCCUGGAUUUGACCACUUGGGCCUGAAGUAACCCCUUUUUUUAGUAGUAAUACAUGGACGGCCUUGCAUACAAACCAGCUCAUGAUUCUAUCUUUCGUGUGGGACUAGAGUUGUUACAUGUAGAACAGGAAUGCUAUGAACUGAAGUGGUAAAAAUUGAUAUGGUGUCAUACUGCUCUUAAAAGGUUUAGACUUAGGGAAGAAAAAAUAAGUAGAAGGAUUCUUGUAACCAAUCUCAAUAAGCCUUGUGAUUUAGUUGAAUUUGGCAAGCAACUGCCUAGUUCUUAAUAUUAACAACUUUACAGGUGGCCAAAAUUGAUGUGAAGGAAGAAACGCCCAUUGACCAUGGAGAGAUAACAUGCUUCAGUAUUUAUUCUGGACCAGAGGCAGAUUUUGGAAACGGCAAAUCCUGUAUCUGGGUAGAUGUUUUGGAUGGCGGUGGCAAGGAUCUUUUGGCUAAAUUUGCUCCAUUUUUCGAGGACCCAGAUAUCAGAAAGGUUUGGCACAACUAUAGUUUUGACAAUCAUGUCAUUGAGAAUUAUGAGUUUCCUGUUUAUGGGUUUCAUGCUGACACAAUGCACAUGGCGCGGUUAUGGAAUUCAUCAAGAAGGACUGAAGGUGGGUAUUCUCUUGAAGCUCUUACUGGUGACAAAAGAGUCAUGAGUGGGUUUCACUCGUGCUAUGAAGAGUUGAUUGGUAAAGUAUCCAUGAAAACGAUCUUUGGCAAGAACAAGUUGAAAAAAGAUGGAUCUGAAGGCAAAAUUAUCACCAUUGCUCCUGUUGAAGAGCUACAAAGAGAAGAUCGAGAACUGUGGAUUUGUUAUUCUGCUUUAGAUGCAAUAAGCACCUGGCAGCUUUAUGAGAGUUUGAAAAACAAACUAUGUCGUAUGCCAUGGAAAGUUGAUGGAAAACCAGUUGGAAAAUCUAUGUAUGACUUCUACCAGGAAUACUGGAAACCAUUUGGCAAGCUUCUAGUUAGAAUGGAAACUGAGGGGAUACUUGUUGAUCGGCCAUAUCUUGCUGAGAUGGAGAAGGUUGCAAAAGCAGAACAAGAAGUUGCUGCUAAUAGAUUUCGCAAUUGGGCAUGCAAGUAUUGCCCUGAUGCCAAAUAUAUGAAUGUGGGGAGUGAUACACAAUUGCGCCAAUUAUUUUUUGGUGGGAUCGCAAACAGAAAGGAUGACACAGACAGUCUUCCACAUGAGAGAAUAUUCAAAAUUCCCAAUGUUGAUAAAGUGAUUGAAGAAGGCAAGAAGGCUCCCACAAAAUUUCGCAGUAUUACAUUGCAUAAAAUUGGUGAUUUUCCUGCUGAGAAGUACACAGCAAGUGGUUGGCCCUCAGUCAGUGGAGAUGCUUUGAAGGCCUUAGCUGGGAAGGUCUCUGCAGAAUAUGAUUUUAUGGAUGAUGCCAUUGUGGAUGAUUGUGAGUUAGAGACAAUUGAUGAUUCAGAAACAAAAAUAUCAUCAGUUCUCAACAAUGUAGAUAAAUCUGCUUAUGGAACAGCUUUGCUAGCGUUUCCGAAACAGGAGGAAGGGAUUGAGGCUUGUCAUGCUAUUGCUUCUUUAUGUGAAGUUUGCACUAUUGACUCUUUGAUAUCCAACUUCAUCCUCCCCUUACAGGGGAGUAAUGUAUCAAGCAAGAGAGGACGUGUUCAUUGUUCCCUGAAUAUCAAUACAGAAACUGGUCGCUUAUCAGCUAGGAGGCCAAAUUUGCAGGUUUCUUCCUCUUCCAUUUUCAGCCUCUCUUCUUCUCCCAAUCUUUAUUGCAUCAUUAAUUGGGAACAGAGAUUUCUCUCUUCAGCUGAAUCACCAAAUGAAACAUGACUUCAGUUUUCAAAUUUAUGUUAGCUUCUUAAGCUAAUCAUAGCUUUGGUGAAGUCUGUUUCCACCUCUCUUAUUCUUCUUUCAAUCUUGAUGGAUAUCUUUCCAUUCAUUAAUUGAAAACAUAGAAGAUUUCUCUCUUCAGCUGCAUCACCAAAUGAAAUGUGACCCAAGUUUUCAAUGAAAUAUGUUUGCUUCUUAAGCUUAUCAUAGCUGCAGCGAAGUCUGCUAAUAAUGAAAUGUGAUUGGCAUUGAUUACAUGCUUACUGGAAAAGUGAAAACACUCAAACCUAACGAGUUAUCUUAUUUUCAACUGCAAAAGGUUUAGUAUUUGUCAGCUGUUGUGUGAAGGUCAGCAUGGAGUUAGAUUAAGGAUGAUUCAUUCAUCUUUAUUGGUUAUUGAUUGAUAUUCUAUGAUAUUUUUAGAUGAGAAGAGAGACUCACAUGUUUUCUUUCUUAAUGCAUUGGAGAUAUAAGUGUUAUCUUGUUUUCCAUAAUUCAGAAUCAGCCUGCUUUGGAGAAGGACAGGUAUAAGAUCCGUCAAGCGUUUAUUGCUGCACCUGGAAAUUCCCUUAUCGUUGCUGAUUAUGGGCAGCUGGAACUUAGGAUUCUUGCACAUCUUUCCGACUGUAAGAGCAUGUUGGAAGCCUUCAAAGCUGGUGGAGAUUUCCAUUCAAGAACAGCAAUGAACAUGUAUCAGCAUAUUCGUGAAGCAGUUGAUAAAGGGGAAGUGCUUCUUGAGUGGUAUCCUCAACCUGGUGAGGAUAAACCACCAGCUCCAUUGUUGAAGGAUGCUUUUGGUUCUGAAAGAAGAAAAGCUAAAAUGCUUAACUUUUCCAUUGCAUAUGGAAAAACACCAGUGGGUCUUGCCCGGGAUUGGAAGGUUUCUGUAGAGGAAGCUAAAGAAACUGUUGAUCUCUGGUAUAGAGAAAGACAAGAAGUGCUUAAAUGGCAACAAGCUCGCAAGCAAGAAGCUAGACAAGAUGGUCGUGUUCACACAUUGCUUGGACGGGCUCGCAUCUUCCCAUCAAUGGCUCAUGGAAGUAAUGCACAAAAAGGUCAUAUAGAGCGAGCUGCCAUAAAUACACCAGUGCAGGGUAGUGCUGCUGAUGUUGCCAUGUGUGCCAUGUUACAAAUAUCAAAAAAUGAUCGUCUGAAGAAGCUUGGAUGGAAGUUGCUUUUGCAGAUUCAUGAUGAAGUGAUCUUGGAAGGACCAAGCGAAUCAGCUGAAGUUGCCAGGGACAUGGUAGUGGAGUGCAUGUCCAAACCCUUCAAUGGGAAGAACAUUCUUAAAGUUGACCUAUCAGUUGAUGCAAAGUGUGCUCAAAACUGGUAUUCUGCCAAGUAAGGGCGCGAUUUCAUAGCCGCAAUUGGAGCUCAACUUGUGUUGAAAUCUCAUAAUGAGCUUUCUGAUAACCUUGAGAAUGGGGUUCUGUUCUAGUGAUGUCACCAUUUCCAUUCAAAGGUUGCAUUGAUUGCUAUUCUGAAAUUUGGUGAUGUAGCAGCAGAUUUUUGGCCAACGAUACGGAUGCAAGGAUGCGUCUUGUGCUGCUUUGGUGACUUUUUGUAACAAGAACGUAAGGAAGCUAACAAUUGAAAAUUGCUAUUCUUUUCCUGUAAAAUUUGUGAUGAUAGCUUAGGUACAUGCGCAAUUGUAAUGGUCUUUGAUGAAUGAAGCUUACGAAAUAUUCUCCAAUUGUCUGUAAAUUCAUUUUAAAUUUUUGUUGUUAAAGUUGACCAUAUGAAUCUUUUUUCGCCGAUAAACUCUGUUUGAGAAAGGGAAUAUCGUAGCUUAUUUAUCAUAA
RNAcentral lists this unclassified non-coding RNA (5534 nucleotides) under Hevea brasiliensis (rubber tree). The record is from RNAcentral. Lineage: Eukaryota; Viridiplantae; Streptophyta; Magnoliopsida; Malpighiales; Euphorbiaceae.